RNAcentral lists this transfer RNA (31 nucleotides) under Prionodon linsang (banded linsang). Its description in RNAcentral is "partial tRNA-Asp". Lineage: Eukaryota; Metazoa; Chordata; Mammalia; Carnivora; Viverridae. The record is from RNAcentral.
GAGAUACUAGUAAAAUUUUACAUAACUUUGU